UUAAUCAUCGUACUGGCGUCAAAUAACGUCAUCGUAGGAAGAAUGUCAGUAUAGUAUAAAUUCGCAAAGUGCUGACCAAAGAACAGAAGGGCUGCGCAAACAUGAAGGCUAAGCUCCUAAUUCUUAUCGCUCUCGUCGCUGCCUGUGUCUCGGAAACAAAAGGCGGCUGCCUGAAGUAUCCAGUGGUGUCAGGAAGGUCUCUGGGAGAAGAGUGCCUGUCCGUCCAAUGUACUACUACCAACGACUGCGGCCCCAUGUGUAUGUGUUUUACGGAGAACAGCGACAGAGGAGUCUGCGUAUAUGCUCCAAACGGAAUAUAAUGUAUUGCAACAAAACAAGCCUGCCACAUUUGUGAAGCCGAUCCUAUGGAUUGCUGAAAUUGCGCAUGCUAAUAGAAUACACCGCUAUUGCAAAGAUUCGACACAGCCAGUUCUGUGCCAAGGAGCGGUCAAGAAAGCUUUACCGAAAAUCCGGGCUUUUCAUGCGAAUAGCUCCUACGUUCGACUUAAAUAAAAUGUGUGCACAUUCGGGGUACUUGUUCU
Long non-coding RNA from Dermacentor andersoni, 542 nucleotides. RefSeq lists it as uncharacterized. The record is from RefSeq and is a predicted model, not a curated record. NCBI's taxonomy places the organism in Eukaryota, Metazoa, Arthropoda, Arachnida, Ixodida, Ixodidae.